Molecule: long non-coding RNA, 1069 nt
Filed under: Cyanistes caeruleus (blue tit)
Lineage: Eukaryota; Metazoa; Chordata; Aves; Passeriformes; Paridae
Description: lncRNA (ENSCCEG00000000046.1)
Source: RNAcentral
AUUAAACUUGGCUUUGCCCUAUUUCCCCCUCUUCUUUCACUCCCCUGCUCUUUGCUGGCAUUAUCUGGGCUGCUUGGGCCUCAGCAAACAACCAAGUAGCCAAAAUAUGGGCAGGAUUCACGCCAUAACCAAACCAGCCAAUGAAUGAAAUAAGGCACUUGUUUCCUGGAGCAGAGGGAGGGGCAGCAGGGGGAUUUAAGCAUUUCUGUGUGGUGUUGGAAACCCACCUGGAGUAGAAGCAGUCCCUCAGCUCACACAAACCACCGGCGCUCCUCUGACGUCAAUUGGCAGCCGCUGGCCUGCACCAUCCCGGGGCUGGCUGCAGCAGCACGAGCAAACAGCUCGCCCGGCCAGCGGGACGCAGGGCGAGAGGCAAGCUGGAGUCCUGCACCCCUUCCCUCCGCCUCACUGCUUUCCAGCAUCCCCCACAGCUUUGUUUUCAGGGGCAGAAGGGCGCAGACCAGCUCCGGCAGGCAUGUCUCGGGCAAGCGGCACGUCGGCUGGCAAUGGACUCCAGGCCUGAAGAGAAUGGGAGCAGGAGGAACUUGACUCCUCUCAGGGUGGUUCCUGCAGCACACAGUGGGAGGAAAAGAAGGCAGCAGCUGUUCAGCUCCUUCCCUGCCCUCCCUACACCAGGUUCCAUCCCACAGCCACCCAUUCCAGCCCAUCCCAGCCCUGACUGCAUCCCACAGGGGACACAGGGAGAGCUGCACCACAAGAACUGUGUCCCAUCACUGCUCGUGGAGCUUGGCAGCCCUCGGUUUUGGGGGGAUGCUGCUGAGCCAGCAGUGGCAGGAUGAGGCUGGCUGUAGCCUGGGGAGCCUCUGGGGGCCACGCACAGCUGCGUUCCUGGACUGCAUUUUUCACCAAUGGCAGAGCAACCCACUCCCUUUUUCCCACCUGAAAGGCCUUCAAAGACCUCGACUUCCAGAGUAGGAGGUAGCUACAGCCCCUGUAAACCAGGCCAGCUGAAGCUGCCCUGAGAGGAACCCACAAUGAAGGCAGCCAGAAUUGCUGAUUGCCUCUGAAAAUAAGGGCAUCAGAGACCUUUAACUCCCAUAUCUCCUUC